Scatophagus argus is the source of this 741-nucleotide long non-coding RNA. RefSeq lists it as uncharacterized. The transcript is spliced from 4 exons. The record is from RefSeq and is a predicted model, not a curated record. NCBI's taxonomy places the organism in Eukaryota, Metazoa, Chordata, Actinopteri, Scatophagidae.
UGGAUGUAACAAACGCGCCCUUUUUUCAAGGCGGGCUAUUUAAACCAAUGGUCUGGCCACUGUGGGUGUGCUGUGCUGGUGCUAGAUGUGACUUCUUUCCCAGCUUGCUUCUGGGCUUUAUCACUUGAAAAUACUUAAGAAGGAUACUAUAUAUGAGGUGGGCUAUUUAAACCGAUGGGCUGUGCCGGUGCUAUUCACAGCUCCUUUCCCGGCUUGCUUCUGGGCUUUAUCACUGAAAAUACUUUUGAAGAACGCUCUAUACGAGGCACAGGCCUCAAACACACACUCCAAUCAUGAAGCUUCAAGAGUUUCACGUCUUCCGGACCUUCCAGACUCAUUCAAAUAGGCAGGACACGUGCAACAAAGGGCCCUGGAAUCAAACCCAGGCCAUUGCAGAGGGCUCAGCUUUGUGCAUGUGGGGCACAUGCUGUACCAGGUGAUUGACAGGGCCCCCCCAAGAAAGGGUUUUGCCUGUGAGCUACAGACUAGGCGAUCUUUUUGAUAGCAGUUGUUGCUGCUGCUGCUAAUGCAGAAGAUUAUAUGGAUCAGUUUCGCAAGGUUGUCCAUCUACUAAGUGGAUUUCCUUAAACAAUGUCGCCAUCUGCUGGAACCAAGGCAGACCAGCGUCAAACAUAAAAAUGAGGAUUUUUUUUUUUUUUUUUUUUUUUUUUUAGGAAUAAAACUUAAAACUAAAUGGCUUAAACAAAUCUGUUCUCCUGGUUUUUAUGUCUGCUGUUCUGG